This 1618-nucleotide ribosomal RNA is filed under the name Salmonella enterica. RNAcentral's name for it is "partial 23S ribosomal RNA". It matches the Rfam family "Bacterial large subunit ribosomal RNA", at positions 1200 to 2802 of the family's 2925-position model. Lineage: Bacteria; Pseudomonadati; Pseudomonadota; Gammaproteobacteria; Enterobacterales; Enterobacteriaceae. The record is from RNAcentral.
CUGCGGCAGCGACACUGUGUGUUGUUGGGUAGGGGAGCGUUCUGUAAGCCUGUGAAGGUGUGUCGUGAGGCAUGCUGGAGGUAUCAGAAGUGCGAAUGCUGACAUAAGUAACGAUAAAGCGGGUGAAAAGCCCGCUCGCCGGAAGACCAAGGGUUCCUGUCCAACGUUAAUCGGGGCAGGGUGAGUCGACCCCUAAGGCGAGGCCGAAAGGCGUAGUCGAUGGGAAACGGGUUAAUAUUCCCGUACUUGGUGUUACUGCGAAGGGGGGACGGAGAAGGCUAUGUUGGCCGGGCGACGGUUGUCCCGGUUUAAGCGUGUAGGCUGGUUUUCCAGGCAAAUCCGGAAAAUCAAGGCUGAGGCGUGAUGACGAGGCACUACGGUGCUGAAGCAACAAAUGCCCUGCUUCCAGGAAAAGCCUCUAAGCAUCAGGUAACAUCAAAUCGUACCCCAAACCGACACAGGUGGUCAGGUAGAGAAUACCAAGGCGCUUGAGAGAACUCGGGUGAAGGAACUAGGCAAAAUGGUGCCGUAACUUCGGGAGAAGGCACGCUGACACGUAGGUGAAGUGAUUUACUCAUGGAGCUGAAGUCAGUCGAAGAUACCAGCUGGCUGCAACUGUUUAUUAAAAACACAGCACUGUGCAAACACGAAAGUGGACGUAUACGGUGUGACGCCUGCCCGGUGCCGGAAGGUUAAUUGAUGGGGUCAGCGCAAGCGAAGCUCCUGAUCGAAGCCCCGGUAAACGGCGGCCGUAACUAUAACGGUCCUAAGGUAGCGAAAUUCCUUGUCGGGUAAGUUCCGACCUGCACGAAUGGCGUAAUGAUGGCCAGGCUGUCUCCACCCGAGACUCAGUGAAAUUGAACUCGCUGUGAAGAUGCAGUGUACCCGCGGCAAGACGGAAAGACCCCGUGAACCUUUACUAUAGCUUGACACUGAACAUUGAGCCUUGAUGUGUAGGAUAGGUGGGAGGCUUUGAAGUGUGGACGCCAGUCUGCAUGGAGCCGACCUUGAAAUACCACCCUUUAAUGUUUGAUGUUCUAACGUGGACCCGUUACCCGGGUUGCGGACAGUGUCUGGUGGGUAGUUUGACUGGGGCGGUCUCCUCCUAAAGAGUAACGGAGGAGCACGAAGGUUGGCUAAUCCUGGUCGGACAUCAGGAGGUUAGUGCAAUGGCAUAAGCCAGCUUGACUGCGAGCGUGACGGCGCGAGCAGGUGCGAAAGCAGGUCAUAGUGAUCCGGUGGUUCUGAAUGGAAGGGCCAUCGCUCAACGGAUAAAAGGUACUCCGGGGAUAACAGGCUGAUACCGCCCAAGAGUUCAUAUCGACGGCGGUGUUUGGCACCUCGAUGUCGGCUCAUCACAUCCUGGGGCUGAAGUAGGUCCCAAGGGUAUGGCUGUUCGCCAUUUAAAGUGGUACGCGAGCUGGGUUUAGAACGUCGUGAGACAGUUCGGUCCCUAUCUGCCGUGGGCGCUGGAGAACUGAGGGGGGCUGCUCCUAGUACGAGAGGACCGGAGUGGACGCAUCACUGGUGUUCGGGUUGUCAUGCCAAUGGCACUGCCCGGUAGCUAAAUGCGGAAGAGAUAAGUGCUGAAAGCAUCUAAGCACGAAACUUGCCCCGA